AGGCACGGAUAUCCCCGCCCGAAGAAAAAAAGAACACAGGACAAUGGUUGCAAGUUAAACAGCUGAACAUUUCACCAUCUGCAAAGAACAUUUCACCAUCAACAUAUUAACAUAAACGGUUCUCUUUUUCUUGUUUGACUGCGUUUGGUACAGGUCACAACAACGACGGCAGAUGUAGAGACCACGCUUUCCCUUGCUUCCACUCCACGGCUGAUCAUGCUUGAGGAUCCAGAUCUACAAAACAAAAAAUGGAUGCUGCCGAUUGAAGGCUAAGUCCGAUUUCCUGCGAUUGACCUACCAUUUCUUCAGCAUUUGCUGUUCACUUUGGUUGCUACUACGUGCUCAACAUCGAGUACCAAGUGGAAGCAGCCACUACUUUGGAGUUUAUUCAGAGAUUUAUUGUGAGGAUCAGCCCCGACAACAGCAAGUGCUCCUCUAACUUCCAGGUGAGCAAAAGAAGUGGGAAGAUGGUGCAAAGGAAGAACUCUGGCCUGAACCAUCAUGUAUAUAUCCACCUUUAUUAAGGACUUUAUGAAUUAAGCAAAACUAUUAAGCAACUAAAGCAAAUACAUUCUACUCAACUCACCAGAGGUUUGUGAAGUUCUUUUUUUUUCUUAAAGGUUUCUUUUAGUUAAUUUGUCCAUGCACUGAUUUAUAAUAUUGUAAUAUGAAACUCCAGUGUAUACAUGUUACUACUGUUGCUUCUAAAAGCAAAAUAAGUCUAUGCAGGAGAGGUUUUGUUACGUUUUUUUUUUUUAAUUAUUCUUAUAGACGGUUUCAUCGGACGCACAUGACACACGUCUGGAUCCGAUCCUUACUUCCGGUUUCGCUUUUUUAAUGGUCUGACUAGUUGCUAAACUGAUCUCUUGAACAAAAGCCUCGUUGAAAAUAACAAAUGUUUUGGUUUCCGAGCUAAUCUAUGUGUUGUUUUUUUGCUUGUUAUAUAAAUAAAAUGCGUUUAAAGAACUUUGUUGUUUUUUAUUCUUAGCGGAGUUUAUCGGAAGUUCAUGCGGACCGCGACAGCCGCUUGUUUAUGAUGUUACUGCUGAAACCGUCUAUAGUUAUAACUGAAUUUGUACUAGUAUUAUUUGAUAAUACUGUGAAAUGAAACAGUGAGUAAAUGUUACAUUGGCUUUGAAAAAGCUGUUGCUGCAAGAAAUUACAAUUUACUCAGAAUAAUAUUUUGAAUGUAUAAGUUUUUGACAUUGCUUAUGACUGCAUUUGAAUGUAUUGUUCAUGAAUUGAUGUUGUGAUAUGUGUGUGUAAAUGUUUUGUAUUUUACUCAGGAAAGUAUUUUGUAUUUGAACAUUGUUAUUAUGACUGAGUUAGUUCAUGACUUGAUUUAAAAUUCUGUAAUAUGAUAUCUAUGAGUAAAUGUUAUUGCAGGUUUAAGAAAAACAGUUUGUGAUGCAAGCUGAAAGUUCAGUGUGCAAAAAAUAUGAAAAUCUGAUUUCAUGUAUUUGAAAAACUAAAAGAAAUUUUAAAAACAUGUUGUCAUUGCUUAUUUUUGUUAUUUACUUAGAGCUGUUUUAACACCUCCAUUUAAAUUUUGUGCAGUUUUGUAGUAAAUAGAAAUGGGAAAAUGAAUCACAGGA
Molecule: non-coding RNA, 1595 nt
Organism: Misgurnus anguillicaudatus (oriental weatherfish)
Lineage: Eukaryota; Metazoa; Chordata; Actinopteri; Cypriniformes; Cobitidae
Source: RefSeq, a predicted model, not a curated record